AAAAAAAAAAAAAAAAACAAGAUACAGAUAAGAGGAACAACUAAUUAUGCAGAAACUACUGAAUCUUCAUAUUGCCAAGGAUUGAAUUCAGUCGUUUUAGCGUCAGCCUCUUCAACAUGAUCAGAACUGUCAAUAGCAGCACGAUGCUCAUGAUAUUUGCCAUUGUACUCAUACACCUCCAACUCACCCCAAGGUGUGGGACAAAUUUCAUUAGAUAAGUUGAACCAUUUUGGUUUGAAUUCGUCACCCUUGGCCUCUCUUGUUCUCCUGUCAGCUCUCUGCCUCUCCUCCAAA
RNAcentral lists this unclassified non-coding RNA (294 nucleotides) under Hevea brasiliensis (rubber tree). The record is from RNAcentral. Lineage: Eukaryota; Viridiplantae; Streptophyta; Magnoliopsida; Malpighiales; Euphorbiaceae.